GAAAGCUCCUGGGGAACGGUUGGUCAUCUGAUAAAGAUGGCAGCAUCUGUAGAGAUGUGGGAUCCUACCGCCGGGAGCUAUUUUUUA
This 87-nucleotide non-coding RNA is filed under the name unclassified sequences. RNAcentral's name for it is "DUF3800-VII RNA". It matches the Rfam family "DUF3800-VII RNA". The record is from Rfam by way of RNAcentral.